GAUGAACGCUGGCGGCGUGCUUAACACAUGCAAGUCGAACGAAGCACUUUAUUUGAUUUCCUUCGGGACUGAUUAUUUUGUGACUGAGUGGCGGACGGGUGAGUAACGCGUGGGUAACCUGCCUUGUACAGGGGGAUAACAGUUGGAAACGGCUGCUAAUACCGCAUAAGCGCACGGCAUCGCAUGAUGCAGUGUGAAAAACUCCGGUGGUAUAAGAUGGACCCGCGUUGGAUUAGCUAGUUGGUGAGGUAACGGCCCACCAAGGCGACGAUCCAUAGCCGACCUGAGAGGGUGACCGGCCACAUUGGGACUGAGACACGGCCCAAACUCCUACGGGAGGCAGCAGUGGGGAAUAUUGCACAAUGGGCGAAAGCCUGAUGCAGCGACGCCGCGUGAGCGAAGAAGUAUUUCGGUAUGUAAAGCUCUAUCAGCA
Molecule: ribosomal RNA, 433 nt
Filed under: uncultured bacterium
Lineage: Bacteria
Description: bacterial SSU rRNA
Rfam family: Bacterial small subunit ribosomal RNA
Source: RNAcentral